This 492-nucleotide ribosomal RNA is filed under the name uncultured bacterium. Its description in RNAcentral is "partial 16S ribosomal RNA". It matches the Rfam family "Bacterial small subunit ribosomal RNA", at positions 29 to 507 of the family's 1533-position model. The record is from RNAcentral.
AGUGAACGCUGGCGGUAGGCCUAACACAUGCAAGUCGAACGGCAGCACAGUAAGAGCUUGCUCUUACGGGUGGCGAGUGGCGGACGGGUGAGGAAUACAUCGGAAUCUACUUUUUCGUGGGGGAUAACGUAGGGAAACUUACGCUAAUACCGCAUACGACCUACGGGUGAAAGCAGGGGAUCUUCGGACCUUGCGCGAUUGAAUGAGCCGAUGUCGGAUUAGCUAGUUGGCGGGGUAAAGGCCCACCAAGGCGACGAUCCGUAGCUGGUCUGAGAGGAUGAUGAGCCACACUGGAAGUGAGACACGGUCCAGACUCCUACGGGAGGCAGCGGUGGGGAAUAUUGGACGAUGGGCGCAAGCCUGAUCCAGCCAUACCGGGUGGGUGAAGCAGGCCUUCGGGUUGUAAAGCCCUUUUGUUGGGAAAGAAAAGCAGCAGGUUAAUACCCCGCUGUUCUGACGGUACCCAAAGAAUAAGCACCGGCUAACUUCGUG